UACAGGGGGUGCAACCGUUGCUCGGAAUCAUUGGGCGUAAAGCGCACGUAGGCGGUUCGUUAUGUCGGAUGUGAAAGCCCUUGGCUUAACCGAGGAAGUGCAUCCGAAACUGGCGAGCUAGAGUACUAAAGAGGAUCGCGGAAUUCCCGGUGUAGAGGUGAAAUUCGUAGAUAUCGGGAGGAACACCGGUGGCGAAGGCGGCGAUCUGGGUAGAUACUGACGCUGAGGAGCGAAAGCAUGGGGAGCGAACAGG
Molecule: ribosomal RNA, 253 nt
Filed under: uncultured bacterium
Lineage: Bacteria
Description: partial 16S ribosomal RNA
Rfam family: Bacterial small subunit ribosomal RNA
Source: RNAcentral